GUCUAUGGCCAUGCCACCCUGAACAAGCCCGAUGUCUGAUCUCAAAAGCUCAGCAGGCUUGGGCCUGGUUAGUCCUGGUUAGUACUUGGAAGGGAGACCACCUAGGAAGACCAGGUGCUGUAGGCA
This 126-nucleotide ribosomal RNA is filed under the name Pteropus alecto (black flying fox). Lineage: Eukaryota; Metazoa; Chordata; Mammalia; Chiroptera; Pteropodidae. The record is from RNAcentral.